Molecule: ribosomal RNA, 498 nt
Filed under: uncultured bacterium
Lineage: Bacteria
Description: partial 16S ribosomal RNA
Rfam family: Bacterial small subunit ribosomal RNA
Source: RNAcentral
GACGAACGCUGGCGGCGUGCCUAAUACAUGCAAGUCGAGCGGACGGAUGGGAGCUUGCUCCCAGACCGUCAGCGGCGGACGGGUGAGUAACACGUGGGCAACCUGCCUGUAAGACUGGGAUAACUCCGGGAAACCGGGGCUAAUACCGGAUAACUCUUUCCCUCCCAUGAGGGAAAGCUGAAAGAUGGCAUCUCGCUAUCACUUACAGAUGGGCCCGCGGCGCAUUAGCUAGUUGGUGAGGUAACGGCUCACCAAGGCGACGAUGCGUAGCCGACCUGAGAGGGUGAUCGGCCACACUGGGACUGAGACACGGCCCAGACUCCUACGGGAGGCAGCAGUAGGGAAUCUUCCGCAAAGGACGAAAGUCUGACGGAGCAACGCCGCGUGAGUGAUGAAGGUUUUCGGAUCGUAAAACUCUGUUGUCAGGGAAGAACAAGUACCGGAGUAACUGCCGGUACCUUGACGGUACCUGACCAGAAAGCCACGGCUAACUACGUG